RNAcentral lists this long non-coding RNA (315 nucleotides) under Mytilus galloprovincialis (Mediterranean mussel). Lineage: Eukaryota; Metazoa; Mollusca; Bivalvia; Mytilida; Mytilidae. The record is from RNAcentral.
CGGACUCUGAUUGUUCAACAGCUUUUUGACUGAAAGAAAUUUUGAAAAGAUUUUGCACACAUGAAUAAAUAUUUUAUUACAGUUUAUUAUAUGACAAGUAAUUUCUAUAAAAUAAAUGAACUAUCAUUUUUUUUCAGCAAUUAUAUUUUUCCCCCGUACAUUCAUCCUUCAUUUUUAUAAUCAGUAGUGUAUGACCUAAUCAAGUUAUCUUCCACAGAUAUUCUUUAUACUUUUCCACCUUUUUAUUCUGAAUAAACAUUUUUUUGGCACAUUUUGCACACAUUUUUUUUACAUUUUCUGAAUUUUUAUUCUUUU